UGAAUACGAGACGCUAAGGCGUCGAAGUAGUGUAUGUCAUACUUCCAAGAAAAGCUUGCACUGUCAUAAGUAAAAAAUGCCUGUACCAUAACCGACACAGGUGGGUAGGUAGAGUAUACUAAGGGGCGCGAGAUAACUCUCUCUAAGGAACUCGGCAAAAUAACUCCGUAACUUCGGGAGAAGGAGUACCUUAUUCUAUAAGGUUGCAAUAACAAGAUCCAAGCAACUGUUUAUCAAAAACACAGGUCUCCGCUAAGUCGUAAGACGAUGUAUGGGGGCUGACGCCUGCCCAGUGCCAGAAGGUUAAAGAAGUCGGUUAGCAUUAGCGAAGCUGGUAACUGAAGCCCUGGUGAACGGCGGCCGUAACGAUAACGGUCCUAAGGUAGCGAAAUUCCUUGUCGGGUAAGUUCCGACCCGCACGAAAGGCGUAAUGAUUUGGAUACUGUCUCGGAGAGGGGCUCGGUGAAAUAGACUUGUCUGUGAAGAUGCGGACUACCUGCACCAGGACAGAAAGACCCUAUGAAGCUUUACUGUAACUUGAAAUUGAAAUUGGACUUUAUUCGCGCAGUAUAGGUGGGAGGUGUUGAUUAUAAUCUUGCGGGAUUAUUGGAGCCAUCAGUGAGAUACCACUCUUGUAAUGUUAGAUUUCUAACUUUGAAUCAUUAUCUGGUCAAAGGACAGUUUCAGGCGGGCAGUUUGACUGGGGCGGUCGCCUCCCAAACGGUAACGGAGGCGUACAAAGGUUUCCUCUGAACGGGUAGAAAUCGUAUCUAGAGUGUAAAGGCAUAAGGAAGCUUGACUGUGAGACCUACAAGUCGAACAGGGACGAAAGUCGGUCUUAGUGAUCUGACGGUACUGAGUGGAAAGGCCGUCACUCAACGGAUAAAAGUUACUCUAGGAUAACAGGCUGAUCUCCCCCAAGAGUUCACAUCGACGGGGAGGUUUGGCACCUCGAUGUCGGCUCAUCGCAUCCUGGGGCGCUAGUACGUCCCAAGGGUUGGGCUGUUCGCCCAUGAAAGCGGUACGCGAGCUGGGUUCAGAACGUCGUGAGACAGUUCGGUCCAUAUCCGGUGUAGGCGUUAGAAUAUUGAGAGGAGCCUUCUUUAGUACGAGAGGACCGAGAAGGACAUACCUCUGGUGUACCAGUUAUCGUGCCAACGGUAAACGCUGGGUAGCUAUGUAUGGAGUGGAUAACCGCUGAAAGCAUCUAAGUGGGAAGCCCACCUCAAGAUAAGUAUUC
Molecule: ribosomal RNA, 1240 nt
Filed under: metagenome
Description: bacterial LSU rRNA
Rfam family: Bacterial large subunit ribosomal RNA
Source: RNAcentral